GCACUGCUGAGGAAUCCUACAAUAGGACGAAACGGCCGUCCAGUAC
Molecule: non-coding RNA, 46 nt
Filed under: Schistosoma mansoni
Lineage: Eukaryota; Metazoa; Platyhelminthes; Trematoda; Strigeidida; Schistosomatidae
Source: RNAcentral